This 348-nucleotide ribosomal RNA is filed under the name Burkholderiales bacterium. RNAcentral describes it as "partial 23S ribosomal RNA". It matches the Rfam family "Bacterial large subunit ribosomal RNA", at positions 1 to 391 of the family's 2925-position model. Lineage: Bacteria; Pseudomonadati; Pseudomonadota; Betaproteobacteria; Burkholderiales. The record is from RNAcentral.
GGUCAAGCGAAUAAGUGCAUGUGGUGGAUGCCUUGGCGAUCACAGGCGAUGAAGGGCGUAGUAGCUUGCGAUAAGCUGCGGGGAGCUGGCAAACGAGCUUUGAUCCGCAGAUACCCGAAUGGGGAAACCCACUCCGCAAGGAGUAUCCCGUGCUGAAUACAUAGGCGCGUGGAGGCGAACGCAGCGAACUGAAACAUCUAAGUAGCUGCAGGAACAGAAAUCAACCGAGAUUCCGAAAGUAGUGGCGAGCGAAAUCGGAUCAGCCUGUACGUGAUAGUCGACUUGCUAGCGGAACGGUCUGGAAAGGCCGGCCAUAGAGGGUGAUAGCCCCUUACGCGAAAGCAGGAC